GUAUAAGAGACAGCAGCAGCCGCGGUAAAACGGAGGGUGCAAGCGUUAUCCGGAUUUACUGGGUUUAAAGGGUGUGUAGGCGGGUAUUUAAGUCAGUGGUGAAAUCUCCGAGCUCAACUUGGAAACUGCCAUUGAUACUAUUUAUCUUGAAUUUUGUUGAGGUAGGCGGAAUAAGUCAUGUAGCGGUGAAAUGCAUAGAUAUGACUUAGAACACCAAUUGCGAAGGCAGCUUGCUAAACAAAUAUUGACGCUGAGGCACGAAAGCGUGGGGAUCAAACAGGAUUAGAGACCCCCGUAGUCCCUGUCUCUUAUAC
This 314-nucleotide ribosomal RNA is filed under the name uncultured bacterium. RNAcentral describes it as "partial 16S ribosomal RNA". It matches the Rfam family "Bacterial small subunit ribosomal RNA", at positions 495 to 807 of the family's 1533-position model. The record is from RNAcentral.